UGGGUCCUGCUGCCCUCCCUCAGCAGAUGGACUGUUGGGCUUCCUGGGGAAACGAAAGGGUUGCUGCGGCUCCUGGUGACCUGGUGAUGUGGCUGUUCUGCUCUUCUCAGCUCAACCAGAAGGAAAAUCCUGUGACCUACAAGAAAGCUAGGCCCAGUAGAACAACAGAACAGCGGGCAUCUCAGCAAUGUGAGAAUGGAAGGGAGCCGGAAGAGCCUCCAGCCCUGCGGGGAGGAGCAGGCCAGGCCUCCCAGGGUCAGGAAGUCUCCCCGAGGAUCAAAGAUUUUAUGGGUUCGAUAUGAAGAAAUUCUUCCGAAAAUAGAUUGGAAAACAUUCAACAAAAAGUAGCAAGAUAAGCCGGAUGCACACACCUGUAAUCCCAGUGGCAGGAGGAUGGAGAGUUCACAGCCAGCCUCGGCAAUUUAGUGAGGUGCUAAGCAACUCAGUGAGACUCUGUCUCUAAAUAAAAUACAAGAUAGGGUUAGGGAUGUGGCUCAGUGGUCCAGUGCCCCUGAGUUCAAUUCUGGUACCCCCCUCCCCCAAAAAAGCAGCAGGAUGUAUCCUAUGAUUUAAGAUUCCAAAAGUGUUACAGUAAAUUAGAAGAACAAGCUCCAGCCUA
RNAcentral lists this long non-coding RNA (619 nucleotides) under Ictidomys tridecemlineatus (thirteen-lined ground squirrel). RNAcentral's name for it is "lncRNA (ENSSTOG00000033241.1)". The record is from RNAcentral. Lineage: Eukaryota; Metazoa; Chordata; Mammalia; Rodentia; Sciuridae.